Molecule: unclassified non-coding RNA, 145 nt
Filed under: soil metagenome
Description: partial internal transcribed spacer 1
Source: RNAcentral
UAAUAAGUGUUUUAUGGCACUUUUAAAUCCAUAUCCACCUUGUGUGCAAUGUCGGUCGAUCUUCUUCUAUGAGGAUCGACCAAACAUCAACCUUUAUCUUUUAACUCUUUGUCUGAAAAAUAUUAUGAAUAAACAAUUCAAAAUA